GCACAAGCGGUGGAUGAUGUGGAUUAAUUCGAUGCAACGCGAAAACCUUACCUACCCUUGACAUGUACGGAACCCUGCUGAGAGGUGGGGGUGCUCGAAAGAGAGCCGUAACACAGGUGCUGCAUGGCUGUCGUCAGCUCGUGUCGUGAGAUGUUGGGUUAAGUCCCGCAACGAGCGCAACCCUUGUCAUUAGUUGCUACGCAAGAGCACUCUAAUGAGACUGCCGGUGACAAACCGGAGGAAGGUGGGGAUGACGUCAAGUCCUCAUGGCCCUUAUGGGUAGGGCUUCACACGUCAUACAAUGGUCGGUACAGAGGGUAGCCAACCCGCGAGGGGGAGCCAAUCCCAGAAAACCGAUCGUAGUCCGGAUCGCAGUCUGCAACUCGACUGCGUGAAGUCGGAAUCGCUAGUAAUCGCGGAUCAGCAUGUCGCGGUGAAUACGUUCCCGGGUCUU
Molecule: ribosomal RNA, 454 nt
Filed under: uncultured Methyloversatilis sp.
Lineage: Bacteria; Pseudomonadati; Pseudomonadota; Betaproteobacteria; Nitrosomonadales; Sterolibacteriaceae
Description: bacterial SSU rRNA
Rfam family: Bacterial small subunit ribosomal RNA
Source: RNAcentral